CAUUGUUGGAGAGUUUGAUCCUGGCUCAGGACGAACGCUGGCGGCGUGCUUAACACAUGCAAGUCGAACGCUGAAACCGCUUCGGUGGUGGAUGAGUGGCGAACGGGUGAGUAACACGUGGGUAAUCUGCCCUGUACUCUGGGAUAAGCCUUGGAAACGGGGUCUAAUACCGGAUAUCACAUCUCCUCGCAUGGGGGGUUGUUGAAAGUUCUGGCGGUACAGGAU
This 225-nucleotide ribosomal RNA is filed under the name Amycolatopsis saalfeldensis. Its description in RNAcentral is "16S rRNA. Bacterial SSU". It matches the Rfam family "Bacterial small subunit ribosomal RNA", at positions 1 to 226 of the family's 1533-position model. Lineage: Bacteria; Bacillati; Actinomycetota; Actinomycetes; Pseudonocardiales; Pseudonocardiaceae. The record is from RNAcentral.